UAGGGAAUCUUCGGCAAUGGACGAAAGUCUGACCGAGCAACGCCGCGUGAGUGAAGAAGGUUUUCGGAUCGUAAAGCUCUGUUGUAAGAGAAGAACGGGUGUGAGAGUGGAAAGUUCACACUGUGACGGUAUCUUACCAGAAAGGGACGGCUAACUACGUGCCAGCAGCCGCGGUAAUACGUAGGUCCCGAGCGUUGUCCGGAUUUAUUGGGCGUAAAGCGAGCGCAGGCGGUUAGAUAAGUCUGAAGUUAAAGGCUGUGGCUUAACCAUAGUACGCUUUGGAAACUGUUUAACUUGAGUGCAGAAGGGGAGAGUGGAAUUCCAUGUGUAGCGGUGAAAUGCGUAGAUAUAUGGAGGAACACCGGUGGCGAAAGCGGCUCUCUGGUCUGUAACUGACGCUGAGGCUCGAAAGCGUGGGGAGCGAACAGGAUUAGAUACCCUGGUAGUCCACGCCGUANACGAUGAGUGCUAGGUGUUAGGCCCUUUCCGGGGCUUAGUGCCGCAGCUAACGCAUUAAGCACUCCGCCUGGGGAGUACGACCGCAAGGUUG
RNAcentral lists this ribosomal RNA (550 nucleotides) under uncultured bacterium. RNAcentral's name for it is "bacterial SSU rRNA". It matches the Rfam family "Bacterial small subunit ribosomal RNA", at positions 355 to 896 of the family's 1533-position model. The record is from RNAcentral.